UACGGAGGGUGCAAGCGUUGUUCGGAAUUACUGGGCGUAAAGGGCGUGUAGGUGGUUGACUAAGUCAGGUGUGAAAGCCCUCAGCUCAACUGAGGAAGCGCAUCUGAAACUGGUUAACUUGAGUACGGGAGAGGAGAGUGGAAUUCCUGGUGUAGAGGUGAAAUUCGUAGAUAUCAGGAGGAACAUCGGUGGCGAAGGCGCCUCUCUGGACCGAUACUGACACUGAGACGCGAAAGCGUGGGGGGCAAAUAGG
This 253-nucleotide ribosomal RNA is filed under the name uncultured bacterium. Its description in RNAcentral is "partial 16S ribosomal RNA". It matches the Rfam family "Bacterial small subunit ribosomal RNA", at positions 524 to 776 of the family's 1533-position model. The record is from RNAcentral.